This 766-nucleotide long non-coding RNA is filed under the name Penaeus monodon (black tiger shrimp). Its description in RNAcentral is "uncharacterized LOC119592847, transcript variant X2". Lineage: Eukaryota; Metazoa; Arthropoda; Malacostraca; Decapoda; Penaeidae. The record is from RNAcentral.
AACAACCAAUUUCGAAACAGCCUGAACAGACCCCUCCAUUCUACUGGCCUUGCCUCAGUCCCUCGCCAUCUUCGCCCCAAACGCCUCACGUGCGUUGUGUCUGCGCGGCCGUUCCCUAGAUUAAACGCAGGGAAUGAUUAUGGGAGUAGUGUUGCGUUAUGCUGGACAAAGUCGUUGGCAGGUGGAGUGAGCGUGCGCAGUAGUUUUCGAAAUCGAAGACUGGCUUGUAUUGAAAUGAGCUCUGUUGAAGACCGGUCUGUAGAACGACACCCGUCAACAGCGAGAUGUCCUCACCGGAACGAGAGUAGAAGCUGCAACUGGUUGUCCAUUGAAAAGUAUCCUCCUGUCAUCUAAUACUUCGAAGCCACCAUGACAUAGCACGCAAAGCCAAGCCCCUGCCCUUAAAACCAGCACAAAUACUCGGCCUUCACACUCAAACUCGGGGCUCAAACCAGACCUGUCUCCUCAAGGCUGGCUUCAGGGCGGAUUCUUGCGGCAGGAGUCGGGUUCCGUUGGCUCCUGACGCUGCGGCUGGGAGGCAAACGGCAGCAAGGUCUAUAGAAACUCUCCAACGGGCGGUCGGCGGUCGGAGCGAGGGUGAAACAGCUGAUGCAAAGAUGAUGCUGACUCACUGUGACUGGAACCCUCUACGGACAAGAGCUUAGCCGAAGCGUCGUGAUCAGUCGUCGCGGUUCCAGUGGAAGAGUCGUAACCCUUCCGCGCGCUGCGACUCCCUUGCAACUCCCGUGCGAAUAGUGUCUGCCAC